UAGGGAAUCUUCCACAAUGGGCGCAAGCCUGAUGGAGCAACACCGCGUGAGUGAAGAAGGGUUUCGGCUCGUAAAGCUCUGUUGUUAAAGAAGAACACGUAUGAGAGUAACUGUUCAUACGUUGACGGUAUUUAACCAGAAAGUCACGGCUAACUACGUGCCANCAGCCGCGGUAAUACGUAGGUGGCAAGCGUUAUCCGGAUUUAUUGGGCGUAAAGAGAGUGCAGGCGGUUUUCUAAGUCUGAUGUGAAAGCCUUCGGCUUAACCGGAGAAGUGCAUCGGAAACUGGAUAACUUGAGUGCAGAAGAGGGUAGUGGAACUCCAUGUGUAGCGGUGGAAUGCGUAGAUAUAUGGAAGAACACCAGUGGCGAAGGCGGCUACCUGGUCUGCAACUGACGCUGAGACUCGAAAGCAUGGGUAGCGAACAGGAUUAGAUACCCUGGUAGUCCAUGCCGUAAACGAUGAGUGCUAGGUGUUGGAGGGUUUCCGCCCUUCAGUGCCGGAGCUAACGCAUUAAGCACUCCGCCUGGGGAGUACGACCGCAAGGUUG
RNAcentral lists this ribosomal RNA (550 nucleotides) under uncultured bacterium. RNAcentral describes it as "bacterial SSU rRNA". It matches the Rfam family "Bacterial small subunit ribosomal RNA", at positions 355 to 896 of the family's 1533-position model. The record is from RNAcentral.